UAAGGAAUAUUGGUCAAUGGACGCAAGUCUGAACCAGCCAUGCCGCGUGAAGGAUGAAGGUCCUCUGGAUUGUAAACUUCUUUUAUCUGGGACGAAAACGGGAUUUUUAUCUCAAUUGACGGUACCAGAAGAAUAAGCACCGGCUAACUCCGUGCCAGCAGCCGCGGUAAUACGGAGGGUGCGAGCGUUAUCCGGAUUUACUGGGUUUAAAGGGUGCGUAGGUGGGCUUAUAAGUCAGUGGUGAAAUCUCCGAGCUUAACUUGGAAACUGCCGUUGAUACUAUAGGUCUUGAAUUAUCUGGAGGUAAGCGGAAUAUGUCAUGUAGCGGUGAAAUGCUUAGAUAUGACAUAGAACACCAAUUGCGAAGGCAGCUUACUACAUAUAAAUUGACGCUGAGGCACGAAAGCGUGGGGAUCAAACA
Molecule: ribosomal RNA, 421 nt
Filed under: uncultured bacterium
Lineage: Bacteria
Description: bacterial SSU rRNA
Rfam family: Bacterial small subunit ribosomal RNA
Source: RNAcentral